GACGAACGCUGGCGGCGCGCCUAACACAUGCAAGUCGAACGAGCGAGAGAGAGCUUGCUUUCUCGAGCGAGUGGCGAACGGGUGAGUAACGCGUGAGGAACCUGCCUCAAAGAGGGGGACAACAGUUGGAAACGACUGCCAAUACCGCAUAAGCCCACGGCUCGGCAUCGAGCAGAGGGAAAAGGAGCAAUCCGCUUUGAGAUGGCCUCGCGUCCGAUUAGCUAGUUGGUGAGGUAACGGCCCACCAAGGCGACGAUCGGUAGCCGGACUGAGAGGUUGAACGGCCACAUUGGGACUGAGACACGGCCCAGACUCCUACGGGAGGCAGCAGUGGGGAAUAUUGCACAAUGGGGGAAACCCUGAUGCAGCGACGCCGCGUGGAGGAAGAAGGUCUUCGGAUUGUAAACUCCUGUUGUUGAGGAAGAUAAUGACGGUACUCAACAAGGAAGUGACGGCUAACUACGUGCCAGCAGCCGCGGUAAAACGUAGGUCACAAGCGUUGUCCGGAAUUACUGGGUGUAAAGGGAGCGCAGGCGGGAAGGCAAGUUGGAAGUGAAAUCCAUGGGCUCAACCCAUGAACUGCUUUCAAAACUGUUUUUCUUGAGUAGUGCAGAGGUAGGCGGAAUUCCCGGUGUAGCGGUGGAAUGCGUAGAUAUCGGGAGGAACACCAGUGGCGAAGGCGGCCUACUGGGCACCAACUGACGCUGAGGCUCGAAAGUGUGGGUAGCAAACAGGAUUAGAUACCCUGGUAGUCCACACUGUAAACGAUGAUUACUAGGUGUUGGAGGAUUGACCCCUUCAGUGCCGCAGUUAACACAAUAAGUAAUCCACCUGGGGAGUACGACCGCAAGGUUGAAACUCAAAGGAAUUGACGGGGGCCCGCACAAGCAGUGGAGUAUGUGGUUUAAUUCGACGCAACGCGAAGAACCUUACCAAGUCUUGACAUCCUGCGACGGUUCUGGAAACAGAACUUUCCUUCGGGACGCAGAGACAGGUGGUGCAUGGUUGUCGUCAGCUCGUGUCGUGAGAUAUUGGGUUAAGUCCCGCAACGAGCGCAACCCUUAUGGUCAGUUACUACGCAAGAGGACUCUGGCCAGACUGCCGUUGACAAAACGGAGGAAGGUGGGGAUGACGUCAAAUCAUCAUGCCCUUUAUGACUUGGGCUACACACGUACUACAAUGGCGUUAAACAAAGAGAAGCAAGACCGCGAGGUGGAGCAAAACUCAGAAACAACGUCCCAGUUCGGACUGCAGGCUGCAACUCGCCUGCACGAAGUCGGAAUUGCUAGUAAUCGCAGAUCAGCAUGCUGCGGUGAAUACGUUCCCGGGCCU
RNAcentral lists this ribosomal RNA (1332 nucleotides) under uncultured bacterium. Its description in RNAcentral is "bacterial SSU rRNA". It matches the Rfam family "Bacterial small subunit ribosomal RNA", at positions 28 to 1381 of the family's 1533-position model. The record is from RNAcentral.